AUUGAACGCUGGCGGCAUGCUUUACACAUGCAAGUCGAACGGUAACAGGCCGCAAGGUUCUGACGAGUGGCGAACGGGUGAGUAAUGCAUCGGAACGUGCCCAGUCGUGGGGGAUAACUACUCGAAAGAGUAGCUAAUACCGCAUACGAUCUAUGGAUGAAAGCGGGGGACCGUAAUGCCUCGCGCGAUUGGAGCGGCCGAUGUCAGAUUAGGUAGUUGGUGGGGUAAAGGCUCACCAAGCCAACGAUCUGUAGCUGGUCUGAGAGGACGACCAGCCACACUGGGACUGAGACACGGCCCAGACUCCUACGGGAGGCAGCAGUGGGGAAUUUUGGACAAUGGGCGCAAGCCUGAUCCAGCAAUGCCGCGUGCAGGAAGAAGGCCUUCGGGUUGUAAACUGCUUUUGUACGGAACGAAACGGCUCUGGUUAAUACCCGGGGCUAAUGACGGUACCGUAAGAAUAAGCACCGGCUAACUACGUG
RNAcentral lists this ribosomal RNA (482 nucleotides) under uncultured bacterium. RNAcentral's name for it is "partial 16S ribosomal RNA". It matches the Rfam family "Bacterial small subunit ribosomal RNA", at positions 30 to 507 of the family's 1533-position model. The record is from RNAcentral.